ACGGCUUUGCCCUCUAGAUAUUAGCAAAAGAGAAGAUUUCAAAGAUAACACCACUUCCCUCGUUCCCUCACUCCUGUAUAUUUGCUUGCUUGCUUCCAUCAUGAUGUUAUGAUGGUGAUCCAGCAGAUGACCAUUGAUGGAUCACCCAAUACGUCUCCAAAGAAAGUUAAAGAUAACCUUUCUCUCUCCCCCUCUCACAAGUUUUCACCUCCCCAAUGAGUGCAAUGACCAAAAGCAAAAGAGUAUCAAGCUUAGUGGGGGGUGGAGGCACGGGGCAAAAUCAUUAGGCCUCCAUCGACGAGCGACAUAGCGAACAUACGCCAGUCACUGUGCAGAAAAACAUUCCAGGUCUAUGUUCUCUUUUCUCAACGGGGAAAAACUAUCAUGCUGGUGCACUGAGAAAAGGUCUGCCGUGUCCAUGAUAAACGGGAAGGUUGCUGAGAGAGGCCAAAUCUGCACUCCUGGCGGCCUCGGCACAAAACAGGUGCACUUCUUUGGUCUGCUCUUGCUAUGCCCCGUCGCGGAGUUUCGGUGGUAACGGCGAGGCGAGAAGUAGAGAUCAUAGUGCAAAGAAGUCGUCUCCCGUAGCGCAGAGAGAUGGGGUGGCGGAAGAGCUACGGGGUAACGAAAUCGGAGGUCGAGUGAAGCGCCAUGGUGGGCCUUGUCAUGGUCAUGGUGGAGUCCCUAUUCAUAAGAGCAGCCUCAAGAAAGCCACUGAACCGAAUGAACAUCGGCGAAGGUCAGAGUGCAGGAAAGUCAAUUGGCCCGAUGCUCACGGGAAGGACAUUGCGGAUGUGCAUGAAUUCGAGCCGAGUGUUUCGGAAGAUGGAGAAAUUGGAGGGGUUAGGAAUUCCUGUGUUUGUUCAGUUCAAUGAAACAGCACGUGCCAAGGUACAAAUGUCCAGCUUGUGAGUACCUGAUUUUCUCAAGUACUUUAUGACCCCAAAUGCUGUCUUCUACUCAAAUUCCCACCGGUCAAUGGGGAAAUCAUCAGUACAUGGUAGCAUUUGAGAUGAAAAGUCACUCUCAAAACAUCUCUCCUGAUUCAACUCACCAAGAUAACUGGAAAUUCGAAUGAAGAAUUAGUGCGGGGUUCUGUCUAUCGUUGCAUGCACUGAUCCAGGCUUAGCGAAGACAAUAUAACAUAUGAAACAUUCUUGGUGAUUGUCUUUGAACUGUUAGCUCAGCUGAUAUAUUUAGCCAAUUCUUUCAGUAUUUGUAUUUAAGUAGAUUCUGUCCCUUGUCUGUGUUAGCCGAAAUUGAAAUGUAACGGGUGAAACCACAAGAUCUUGCAGCUUCUAAUGUGUUAGACAUGACUGUUGCUGAGCAG
Rhodamnia argentea is the source of this 1330-nucleotide long non-coding RNA. RefSeq lists it as uncharacterized. The record is from RefSeq and is a predicted model, not a curated record. Lineage: Eukaryota; Viridiplantae; Streptophyta; Magnoliopsida; Myrtales; Myrtaceae. The transcript has 3 exons.